Long non-coding RNA from Diceros bicornis minor, 783 nucleotides. RefSeq lists it as uncharacterized. The record is from RefSeq and is a predicted model, not a curated record. The transcript has 3 exons. Lineage: Eukaryota; Metazoa; Chordata; Mammalia; Perissodactyla; Rhinocerotidae.
GAGAAACACAGGCAGUGGUACCUGCAAAACCUUUGAGUUCUCCAUCUUUGUCACUGAUUCUGAGAGCCGUGGAGUCAGCUCCAGAGUUUCAGCCAGCAGCAGAAGCAGAGCUGUGGGCAGUGGUGGAGGUAGAGCUGGCUUCAGCUCCGUUGACACCACCCCCUCUAGCACUGGAGCCAGUGUCCCCUCUACCAGCAGUGUUGGAGGUGGAGCAAGGGCCAACAUGGGCUCCAGCAGGAGUGGGAGCUGCUGAGUUGGAGUCACCUGGACCAUCAUUUCUAGUGGGAAGUCCAUCUCCACCUGUGGCUAAGAAGUGUGAGAAGAAGCCCAACCUACGGCCUUCCCUCCUAAGCUGGUGGUGGAGCAGUUGAUCGUGAUGGAUGCAAGCGUAGAGGUGGACACUAACAGGACCUGCUGCACAGAGUGGCUGUGCCGGCUCCUUGAAGAGAAGGAAGGGUGAGCAGGGCCUGGCACAUCAGUAGUGGAGGGGAACUCACUGUAUGCAGCCAGGUCCCUGGUGGCCCAACCGUCUGCUCAGGAAGCUCAACAGCCUCAGGACUUAUUAGACACCUGAUGUGUACUCCACUACAAGGGAGACAGACAAGGCCCGUGGUUGUAGCUGCCAGGGGAGAAUGUGCAUCAGAAUGGGGAGUGUGACCAGAGGGGGAUCAGUGUGUUGGAAGAUGCCCCCUUGGGAUGAGCCGAGGUGAGCCACCAUCUGGAGCUUGGAGUUAGCCAGGACGGGCUGGAUGCAAAUGUCCCUCUCCCUUCCCUGCCAGUAUU